UCGUUGCAUUGUAAUCCUACAUAGAAUUGAUUGAGCAGUAUCCUAGCAGGAACGUUAUGCAGAGCUACUUCAAUGGAUGCCCAAAUAUGAAAAGUUACCUUGAGAGAGAAGAGGGUGAAGGAACCAAACAUGUCUUUGGAUUUUGAACUUUCUGGGAUUUGUGAACUAAGAAACAUAAAAGGAGACAUACAUUCUUCGGUUUCAAAGAAUCACUGACGAACAUCUUCUUCCCUCUUAAACUCCCCAUCACCAUCUUUGCAUCACACCUAACACACCACAGAGAAAAUCAAGGAAGCAUAAGACAAACUCAUGAGGGAAGUUCCAGGAAUCAUAGUCACUAUGGAGACGACAUUGCUAAGAAUUUCUUUUCAGCAUCUUAAGCAGACUAUAAUAUGUAAUUAACUGAUUUGUAGAACCUUUUCCUAGACAUAAAAUGAACUGGAAAAUUAAACGUUGAAGAGCUUAUGCUUGCCAUCCUUAACAAUAUGCACACCAAAUCUCAAACA
RNAcentral lists this long non-coding RNA (506 nucleotides) under Brassica napus (rape). RNAcentral's name for it is "long non-coding RNA (BNAP_LNC018868)". The record is from RNAcentral. Lineage: Eukaryota; Viridiplantae; Streptophyta; Magnoliopsida; Brassicales; Brassicaceae.